RNAcentral lists this ribosomal RNA (377 nucleotides) under uncultured bacterium. RNAcentral's name for it is "bacterial SSU rRNA". It matches the Rfam family "Bacterial small subunit ribosomal RNA", at positions 523 to 898 of the family's 1533-position model. The record is from RNAcentral.
AUACAGAGGGUGCGAGCGUUGUUCGGAAUUAUUGGGCGUAAAGCGCGAGUAGGCGGCCUGUCAAGUCGCGUGUGAAAGCUUCCGGCUCAACCGGAAAAGUGCGCGCGAAACUGAUGGGCUUGAGUACCGGAGAGGGUGGCGGAAUUCCCGGUGUAGAGGUGAAAUUCGUAGAUAUCGGGAGGAACACCAGAGGCGAGGGCGGCCACCUGGACGGACACUGACGCUGAGAAGCGAAAGCGUGGGGAGCAAACAGGAUUAGAUACCCUGGUAGUCCACGCCGUAAACGAUGGGUGCUAGCUGUUUCGGGAGUUGACCCCUGAAGUGGCGACGCUAACGCAAUAAGCACCCCGCCUGGGAAGUACGGCCGCAAGGCUAAA